This 450-nucleotide ribosomal RNA is filed under the name uncultured bacterium. RNAcentral describes it as "partial 16S ribosomal RNA". It matches the Rfam family "Bacterial small subunit ribosomal RNA", at positions 354 to 796 of the family's 1533-position model. The record is from RNAcentral.
GUGGGGAAUAUUGGACAAUGGGCGCAAGCCUGAUCCAGCCAUACCGCGUGGGUGAAGAAGGCCUUCGGGUUGUAAAGCCCUUUUGUUGGGAAAGAAAUCCUAUCGAUUAAUACUCGGUGGGGAUGACGGUACCCAAAGAAUAAGCACCGGCUAACUUCGUGCCAGCAGCCGCGGUAAUACGAAGGGUGCAAGCGUUACUCGGAAUUACUGGGCGUAAAGCGUGCGUAGGUGGUUGUUUAAGUCUGCUGUGAAAGCCCUGGGCUCAACCUGGGAAUUGCAGUGGAUACUGGGCAACUAGAGUGUGGGAGAGGGAUGCGGAAUUUCUGGUGUAGCAGUGAAAUGCGUAGAGAUCAGAAGGAACAUCCGUGGCGAAGGCGGCAUCCUGGGCCAACACUGACACUGAGGCACGAAAGCGUGGGGAGCAAACAGGAUUAGAAACCCGAGUAGUCC